CUACGUGCCAGCAGCCGCGGUAAUACGUAUGUCGCAAGCGUUAUCCGGAAUUAUUGGGCAUAAAGGGCAUCUAGGCGGCCAGAUAAGUCUGGGGUGAAAACUUGCGGCUCAACCGCAAGCCUGCCCUGGAAACUAUGCGGCUAGAGUACUGGAGAGGUGGACGGAACUGCACGAGUAGAGGUGAAAUUCGUAGAUAUGUGCAGGAAUGCCGAUGAUGAAGAUAGUUCACUGGACGGUAACUGACGCUGAAGUGCGAAAGCUAGGGGAGCAAACAGGAUUAGAUACCCUGGUAGUCCUAGCUGUAAACGAUGGAUGCUCGCUGUUGGCCUUUAUGGUCAGUGGCUUAGCGAAAGCGUUAAGCAUCCCACCUGGGGAGUACGCCGGCAACGGUGAAACUCAAAGGAAUUGACGGGGGCCCGCACAAGCGGAGGAACAUGUGGUUUAAUUCGAUGAUACGCGAGGAACCUUACCCGGGCUUGAACUAACGGUGACGAAUCUAGAGAUAG
RNAcentral lists this ribosomal RNA (506 nucleotides) under uncultured bacterium. RNAcentral's name for it is "bacterial SSU rRNA". It matches the Rfam family "Bacterial small subunit ribosomal RNA", at positions 501 to 1009 of the family's 1533-position model. The record is from RNAcentral.